Molecule: non-coding RNA, 93 nt
Organism: Mycena epipterygia
Lineage: Eukaryota; Fungi; Basidiomycota; Agaricomycetes; Agaricales; Mycenaceae
Source: the annotation of a GenBank genome assembly
UCAGACAUGGUGUAGUGGUAACACGGCCUCUCUAUAUAGGAUCUCAAUACCAUAGUUCUGAGGCAGUCCUGGGUUCGAACCCCAGUGUCUGAA